GAAUAUUUCUUGAUUGAGGAAAAUAUUUUAAAUAUAUGCAUAGUUAAGCAAAAAUAAAAAUUAAAGAUUCUACAUUGUCCACAAAGAAAAAUGUCUAUCCCAUUGUGCAUCUUUUGUUCAUUAUCUCUCUGUCAGGAGUUAAAAUAGUUUAUCAUCAGUUUUUGAAGAUCACAGUUCUUAUUAAAACUUAAUAGGAGGAUUUGAUUCCCUCAUUUCAUCAAAAAUUCCUUUAUGCAUUGUGUUCUUCUAAUCCCUGGCAGAACAUUACUACAUGGAGUUCUUUGGAACAAGUUACAGAACCAAUUCUGAAAUUCUGAAAAGUCCUAGGUGUCACAUUUUAAAAGAAAAUUAA
RNAcentral lists this long non-coding RNA (352 nucleotides) under Monodelphis domestica (gray short-tailed opossum). RNAcentral's name for it is "lncRNA (ENSMODG00000032207.2)". Lineage: Eukaryota; Metazoa; Chordata; Mammalia; Didelphimorphia; Didelphidae. The record is from RNAcentral.